Molecule: ribosomal RNA, 695 nt
Filed under: bacterium 15-GKL1
Lineage: Bacteria
Description: bacterial SSU rRNA
Rfam family: Bacterial small subunit ribosomal RNA
Source: RNAcentral
GCCAGCAGCCGCGGUAAUACGGAAGGUGCAAGCGUNAAUCGGAAUUACUGGGCGUAAAGCGCACGCAGGCGGUCUGUCAAGUCGGAUGUGAAAUCCCCGGGCUCAACCUGGGAACUGCAUCCGAAACUGGCAGGCUUGAGUCUUGUAGAGGGGGGUAGAAUUCCAGGUGUAGCGGUGAAAUGCGUAGAGAUCUGGAGGAAUACCGGUGGCGAAGGCGGCCCCCUGGACAAAGACUGACGCUCAGGUGCGAAAGCGUGGGGAGCAAACAGGAUUAGAUACCCUGGUAGUCCACGCCGUAAACGAUGUCGACUUGGAGGUUGUGCCCUUGAGGCGUGGCUUCCGGAGCUAACGCGUUAAGUCGACCGCCUGGGGAGUACGGCCGCAAGGUUAAAACUCAAAUGAAUUGACGGGGGCCCGCACAAGCGGUGGAGCAUGUGGUUUAAUUCGAUGCAACGCGAAGAACCUUACCUGGUCUUGACAUCCACAGAACUUUCCAGAGAUGGAUUGGUGCCUUCGGGAGCUGUGAGACAGGUGCUGCAUGGCUGUCGUCAGCUCGUGUUGUGAAAUGUGGGGUUAAGUCCCGCAACGAGCGCCACCUCUAUCCUUUGUUGCCAGCGGGUCGGCCGGGAACUCANAGGAGACUGCCAGUGAUUAACUGGAGGAAGGUGGGGAUGACGUCAAGUCAUCAUGGCCCU